UUUGCCGGAGCUGGAUCAGCUGG
RNAcentral lists this microRNA (23 nucleotides) under Equus caballus (horse). RNAcentral's name for it is "eca-miR-8940". Lineage: Eukaryota; Metazoa; Chordata; Mammalia; Perissodactyla; Equidae. The record is from miRBase by way of RNAcentral.